This 72-nucleotide transfer RNA is filed under the name Sargassum fulvellum. RNAcentral's name for it is "tRNA-Glu". It matches the Rfam family "tRNA". Rfam says of the family: Transfer RNA (tRNA) molecules are approximately 80 nucleotides in length. Their secondary structure includes four short double-helical elements and three loops (D, anti-codon, and T loops). The record is from RNAcentral. Lineage: Eukaryota; Phaeophyceae; Fucales; Sargassaceae.
GUCUCUUUGGUCUAAUGGUUAGGACGUUGCCUUUUCACGGCGGGAAUAUGGGUUCAAUUCCCAUAAGAGAUU